GGGAGGGAAACCGCGGGCUGCUUCGCCGGCCGCCGCCGCCGCGUGAAAGGGCACCGACCGCCGCGCGGCGGCCUCCCUCCGCUCCCCCUGCGACCACCAGCGCCGCCGCCUCCUUCCACUCCCCUGCGACCACCCCGGGCCGCCGCCUCGACGCCCAGCGCCGCCGGCUUCCUUCUCUCCCCCAGCGACAACCCUCGGCUGCCCCCAAAGCUACUGUGUUGGCAAUGUCUAGUUCACCCCUGAUAAUGCAAUGCAGUGAUGUGUGUGCUGUGCGCAGGAGCAAACUUCAUAAGGAAACGCUAUAGGCUUGAAGAAACUACAAGGUUGAAAGCACAACCACCGUGCACAGGAGCAAACUUCAGAUAAUCCACUUUGAUAAGAAAUACAAGGUGUCAAACUUAUGCUUCGAUCAUUAUUGGGCUAAAAGCAACCCAAACUUUGCUUGAUUCUUCAUAACAAGCUUCAUAUGUCCUAAUCUGCCUUUCCAAUACGUAGGCCUUUUAAUUUUUGACCAAGAUUACAGAAAAAAAAUGUAUUGAUAUAUAUCAUGACACGUCCUCUUUAAUAAAACCUGAGAGCUGUAGAUGUUGGUAGAUUGUUGUAUAAAUUCGGUCAAACUUUAAGAAAUUUGGCUUAGGACAAAUCUAGAACAUCUCAUUUGUAUAAAUUUUGAAGUUUGACUUACAACAAAUGUAUAACAUCCUAUAUUUCGAAACAGAGGAAAUACAUGCAAUUCGAUUGAAGAAUUAUCCAGUUGACAUAAAUCACGCUUUUUCUUAUUGCAAGGUCCACUGGUGCUACUUUCUACAGUACAACAGUGUUUGCAUCCAUGAAAUUCUUCAGUUGCAAGCUCGGGUUUGACAAUGCACAAAUCAACCACAAU
RNAcentral lists this long non-coding RNA (883 nucleotides) under Brachypodium distachyon (stiff brome). RNAcentral's name for it is "long non-coding RNA (BDIS_LNC003960)". Lineage: Eukaryota; Viridiplantae; Streptophyta; Magnoliopsida; Poales; Poaceae. The record is from RNAcentral.